UAGGGAAUCUUCGGCAAUGGACGAAAGUCUGACCGAGCAACGCCGCGUGAGUGAAGAAGGUUUUCGGAUCGUAAAACUCUGUUGUUAGAGAAGAACAAGGACGUUAGUAACUGAACGUCCCCUGACGGUAUCUAACCAGAAAGCCACGGCUAACUACGUGCCAGCAGCCGCGGUAAUACGUAGGUGGCAAGCGUUGUCCGGAUUUAGUGGGCGUAAAGCGAGCGCAGGCGGUUUCUUAAGUCUGAUGUGAAAGCCCCCGGCUCAACCGGGGAGGGUCAUUGGAAACAGGGAGACUUGAGUGCAGAAGAGGAGAGUGGAAUUCCAUGUGUAGCGGUGAAAUGCGUAGAUAUAUGGAGGAACACCAGUGGCGAAGGCGGCUCUCUGGUCUGUAACUGACGCUGAGGCUCGAAAGCGUGGGGAGCAAACAGG
Molecule: ribosomal RNA, 429 nt
Filed under: Gemmatimonadota bacterium
Lineage: Bacteria; Pseudomonadati; Gemmatimonadota
Description: Gemmatimonadetes bacterium partial 16S ribosomal RNA
Rfam family: Bacterial small subunit ribosomal RNA
Source: RNAcentral